GAAGUAUGAUGCUCAAGGAAAAGCUGCUAACUUUAUCCUUUUAAUGGUUAAACUCCAUUUAUACUUCU
This 68-nucleotide transfer RNA is filed under the name Rivellia apicalis. Its description in RNAcentral is "tRNA-Ser". Lineage: Eukaryota; Metazoa; Arthropoda; Insecta; Diptera; Platystomatidae. The record is from RNAcentral.